AGGGAUCAUUACUGAGUUACCGCUCUAUAACCCUUUGUGAACAUACCUACAACUGUUGCUUCGGCGGGUAGGCCGUCCCCUGAAAAGGACGCCUCCCGGCCCGGACCGGACCCCCCGCGGGACCGGACCCGGCGCCCGCCGGAGGAUAACCAAACUCUAUUGUAACGACGUUUCUUCUGAGUGGCAUAAGCAAAAUAAUCAAAACUUUUAACAACGGAUCUCUUGGUUCUGGCAUCGAUGAAGAACGCAGCGAAAUGCGAUAAGUAAUGUGAAUUGCAGAAUUCAGUGAAUCAUCGAAUCUUUGAACGCACAUUGCGCCCGCCAGCAUUCUGGCGGGCAUGCCUGUCCGAGCGUCAUUUCAACCCUCAAGCUCUGCUUGGUGUUGGGGCUCUACGGUCGACGUAGGCCCUCAAAGGUAGUGGCGGACCCUCCCGGAGCCUCCUUUGCGUAGUAACAUUUCGUCUCGCACUGGGAUCCGGAGGGACUCUUGCCGUAAAACCCCCCAAUUUUCCAAAGGUUGACCUCGGAUCAGGUAGGAAUACCCGCUGAACUUAA
This 555-nucleotide ribosomal RNA is filed under the name Colletotrichum sp. Man-76. Its description in RNAcentral is "eukaryotic LSU rRNA". The stretch from base 203 to 356 matches the Rfam family "5.8S ribosomal RNA". The record is from RNAcentral. Lineage: Eukaryota; Fungi; Ascomycota; Sordariomycetes; Glomerellales; Glomerellaceae.